RNAcentral lists this ribosomal RNA (216 nucleotides) under uncultured bacterium. RNAcentral's name for it is "partial 16S ribosomal RNA". It matches the Rfam family "Bacterial small subunit ribosomal RNA", at positions 1285 to 1500 of the family's 1533-position model. The record is from RNAcentral.
GUCCCAGUUCGGAUUGCAGUCUGCAACUCGAGUGCAUGAAGCUGGAAUCGCUAGUAAUCGCGGAUCAGAAUGCCGCGGUGAAUACGUUCCCGGGUCUUGUACACACCGCCCGUCACACCAUGGGAGUCGGGAAUGCCCGAAGCCGGUGGCCCAAUCGAGAGAAGGGAGCCGUCGAAGGCAGGCCGGAUGACUGGGGUGAAGUCGUAACAAGGUAAC